GAAAUGCGAUAAGUAAUGUGAAUUGCAGAAUUCAGUGAAUCAUCGAAUCUUUGAACGCACCUUGCGCUCCUUGGUAUUCCUUGGAGCAUGCCUGUUUGAGUAUCAUGAAAUCUUCAAAGUAAAUCUUUUGUUAACUCAAUUGGUUUCUACUUUGGUAUUGGAGGUCUUUGCAGCUUCACACCUGCUCCUCUUUGUUCAUUAGCUGGAUCUCAGUGUUAUGCUUGGUUCCACUCGGCGUGAUAAGUUAUCUAUCGCUGAGGACACUGUAAAAAGUGGCCAAGGUAAAUGCAGAUGAACCGCUUCUAAUAGUCCAUUGACUUGGACAAUACUUUUAUGACCUGAUCUCAAAUCAGGUAGGACUACCCGCUGAACUUAAGC
This 378-nucleotide unclassified non-coding RNA is filed under the name plant metagenome. Its description in RNAcentral is "partial contains 5.8S ribosomal RNA, internal transcribed spacer 2, and large subunit ribosomal RNA". The stretch from base 1 to 105 matches the Rfam family "5.8S ribosomal RNA", at positions 50 to 154 of the family's 154-position model. The record is from RNAcentral.